Molecule: ribosomal RNA, 497 nt
Filed under: uncultured bacterium
Lineage: Bacteria
Description: partial 16S ribosomal RNA
Rfam family: Bacterial small subunit ribosomal RNA
Source: RNAcentral
GAUGAACGCUGGCGGCGUGCCUAAUACAUGCAAGUCGAGCGAACAGACGAGGAGCUUGCUCCUCUGACGUUAGCGGCGGACGGGUGAGUAACACGUGGAUAACCUACCUAUAAGACUGGGAUAACUUCGGGAAACCGGAGCUAAUACCGGAUAAUAUAUUGAACCGCAUGGUUCAAUAGUGAAAGACGGUUUUGCUGUCACUUAUAGAUGGAUCCGCGCCGCAUUAGCUAGUUGGUAAGGUAACGGCUUACCAAGGCAACGAUGCGUAGCCGACCUGAGAGGGUGAUCGGCCACACUGGAACUGGGACACGGUCCAGACUCCUACGGGAGGAAGCAGUAGGGAAUCUUCCGCAAUGGGCGAAAGCCUGACGGAGCAACGCCGCGUGAGUGAUGAAGGUCUUCGGAUCGUAAAACUCUGUUAUUAGGGAAGAACAAAUGUGUAAGUAACUAUGCACGUCUUGACGGUACCUAAUCAGAAAGCCACGGCUAACUACGUG